AUACGUAGGGUGCAAGCGUUAUCCGGAUUUAUUGGGUUUAAAGGGUCCGUAGGCGGAUCUGUAAGUCAGUGGCGAAAUCUCAUAGCUUAACUAUGAAACUGCCAUUGAUACUGCAGGUCUUGAGUAAGGUAGAAGUAGCUGGAAUAAGUAGUGUAGCGGUGAAAUGCAUAGAUAUUACUUAGAACACCAAUUGCGAAGGCAGGUUACUAUGUCUUAACUGACGCUGAUGGGCGAAAGCGUGGGGAGCGAACAGGAUUAGAAACCCCAGUAGUCC
This 274-nucleotide ribosomal RNA is filed under the name uncultured bacterium. RNAcentral describes it as "partial 16S ribosomal RNA". It matches the Rfam family "Bacterial small subunit ribosomal RNA", at positions 523 to 796 of the family's 1533-position model. The record is from RNAcentral.